Long non-coding RNA from Oenanthe melanoleuca, 344 nucleotides. RefSeq lists it as uncharacterized. The transcript has 3 exons. Lineage: Eukaryota; Metazoa; Chordata; Aves; Passeriformes; Muscicapidae. The record is from RefSeq and is a predicted model, not a curated record.
GCAAAGAUGCAAGUAAAAGUCAGAAGUGUUUAGCUGAGAGGUGGAACAUCAAUUGAAUGGGACUGUGGAUGGGCUGUUAGGGGACUGCACAGUCUGUGCCUGUUUUAAACAUGCCAUUUAUCAAUGAGAGAGCCCUAGCCAGCAAGAGAUUUGGACAAAGGAAAAAACAUGACUGAGGAACUUCAGGGGAUGCCUUGAGACACUACCAAUAGAAAACAGAGCUGAUUCCUUUGUCUGUCCUCUUUUCAUGUUCUUGCACUGAUGCUGCCUCCAAUUCAGGGGUUCCUGCAAUCUUCCAUCACAGAAAAAUACAAUUUUGUGUCUGAGCACCUCAUUCACAAAAG